GGGGAGCCCUAGCACAGGUGCUGCAUGGCCGUCGUCAGCUCGUGCCGUGAGGUGUUGGGUUAAGUCCCGCAACGAGCGCAACCCCCGCCGUUAGUUGCCAGCGGUUCGGCCGGGCACUCUAACGGGACUGCCCGCGAAAGCGGGAGGAAGGAGGGGACGACGUCUGGUCAGCAUGGCCCUUACGGCCUGGGCGACACACGUGCUACAAUGCCCACUACAAAGCGAUGCCACCCGGCAACGGGGAGCUAAUCGCAAAAAGGUGGGCCCAGUUCGGAUUGGGGUCUGCAACCCGACCCCAUGAAGCCGGAAUCGCUAGUAAUCGCGGACCAGCCAUGCCGCGGUGAAUACGUUCCCGGGCCUU
This 361-nucleotide ribosomal RNA is filed under the name uncultured Thermus sp. RNAcentral describes it as "bacterial SSU rRNA". It matches the Rfam family "Bacterial small subunit ribosomal RNA", at positions 1021 to 1382 of the family's 1533-position model. Lineage: Bacteria; Thermotogati; Deinococcota; Deinococci; Thermales; Thermaceae. The record is from RNAcentral.